Molecule: non-coding RNA, 200 nt
Filed under: Granulicatella adiacens
Lineage: Bacteria; Bacillati; Bacillota; Bacilli; Lactobacillales; Carnobacteriaceae
Description: T-box sequence
Rfam family: T-box leader
About the family: Uncharged tRNA acts as the effector for transcription antitermination of genes in the T-box leader family. T-boxes are found upstream of many aminoacyl-tRNA synthetase genes and some amino acid biosynthetic genes usually in Gram-positive bacteria. The anticodon of a specific tRNA base pairs to a specifier sequence within the T-box motif, and the NCCA acceptor tail of the tRNA base pairs to a conserved bulge in the T-box antiterminator hairpin.
Source: RNAcentral
GCAAAAUUGAUGAAAAAGAGAGUAGUUUUUAACCGAAUGUAUUAGCGAGUUGGAAGGGUGAAAGCCAACCAUUCAUUAAAAAUGAACCGCACUUUUGAAAUGAUUAUUUGAAAUGUAGGAUAAUCCGGAUUCGCCGUUACCGAGUAAAGUGGCUCAAUAGGAGCAAUCAGAGUGGUACCACGGGAAUUCUCGUCUCUAUA